GAUGAACGCUGGCGGCGUGCCUAAUACAUGCAAGUCGAGCGAACAGACGAGGAGCUUGCUCCUCUGACGUUAGCGGCGGACGGGUGAGUAACACGUGGAUAACCUACCUAUAAGACUGGGAUAACUUCGGGAAACCGGAGCUAAUACCGGAUAAUAUAUUGAACCGCAUGGUUCAAUAGUGAAAGACGGUUUUGCUGUCACUUAUAGAUGGAUCCGCGCCGCAUUAGCUAGUUGGUAAGGUAACGGCUUACCAAGGCAACGAUGCGUAGCCGACCUGAGAGGGUGAUCGGCCCCACUGGAACUGGGACGCGGUCCAGACUCCUACGGGAGGCAGCAGUAGGGAAUCUUCCGCAAUGGGCGAAAGCCUGACGGAGCAACGCCGCGUGAGUGAUGAAGGUCUUCGGAUCGUAAAACUCCGUUAUUAGGGAAGAACAAAUGUGUAAGUAACUAUGCACGUCUUGACGGUACCUAAUCAGAAAGCCACGGCUAACUACGUG
RNAcentral lists this ribosomal RNA (497 nucleotides) under uncultured bacterium. RNAcentral describes it as "partial 16S ribosomal RNA". It matches the Rfam family "Bacterial small subunit ribosomal RNA", at positions 28 to 507 of the family's 1533-position model. The record is from RNAcentral.